Molecule: long non-coding RNA, 408 nt
Filed under: Brassica napus (rape)
Lineage: Eukaryota; Viridiplantae; Streptophyta; Magnoliopsida; Brassicales; Brassicaceae
Description: long non-coding RNA (BNAP_LNC007556)
Source: RNAcentral
CAGCAAAAGAAACAUCUACAGACUCAUAUUGACUCUGUAAACCAAUUUGGUAACUCCGCAUCCAUGUGAACGACAAAAGACGGUUGUUUCCUAGCACUGCGUGCUAAGCUAUCCGCCCUUGAGUUCUCCGUCCGUGGUACAUGAACGAUGUCUGAGUUAAGGAAACUUCCUCUCAAAAGCUUAAAGUCCUCCAGAUAGCUUCCAAAUGCAGGCCAUUCUUCUGGUUCCGAAACCAUCUUCACCAAUUGAGAACAAUCCGUUGCAAACGUCACCUGAAUCUGUCUUAAAUUCUUCAUACAUUCCAUUGCCCAAAUCAAAGCCUCCAUCUCCGAAUGAAGAGGUGAGAGAGAUGCUCUUACAUUUCUUGCCCCUAAUAAACCAUUGAAACCCGGUAAAGUACUAUACCAG